This 304-nucleotide unclassified non-coding RNA is filed under the name uncultured fungus. RNAcentral's name for it is "sequence contains ITS2". The stretch from base 1 to 52 matches the Rfam family "5.8S ribosomal RNA", at positions 103 to 154 of the family's 154-position model. The record is from RNAcentral. Lineage: Eukaryota; Fungi.
AACGCACCUUGCGCUCCUUGGUAUUCCGAGGAGCAUGCCUGUUUGAGUGUCAUUAAAUUAUCAACCCUUGUUAACUUUUUAGUUAGUAAGUGGAUUGGAAGUGGGGGCAUGUUGGUUUCUUCAUUGAAAUGAACUCCCCUGAAAUGCAUUAGCUGGUUGCCUUGUGCAAACAUGUCUAUUGGUGUGAUAAUUAUCUACGCCGUGGGCUAUUUGCCGUUUAUAGCACUGCUUAUAAUCGUCUGUUCAUUCAGACAAUACAUGACAAUUUGACCUCAAAUCAGGUAGGACUACCCGCUGAACUUAA